Molecule: ribosomal RNA, 270 nt
Filed under: uncultured archaeon
Lineage: Archaea
Description: partial 16S ribosomal RNA
Rfam family: Archaeal small subunit ribosomal RNA
Source: RNAcentral
CAGCACCUCAAGUGGUCAGGAUGAUUAUUGGGCCUAAAGCAUCCGUAGCCGGCUCUGUAAGUUUUCGGUUAAAUCUGUACGCUCAACGUACAGGCUGCCGGGAAUACUGCAGAGCUAGGGAGUGGGAGAGGUAGACGGUACUCGGUAGGAAGGGGUAAAAUCCUUUGAUCUAUUGAUGACCACCUGUGGCGAAGGCGGUCUACCAGAACACGUUCGACGGUGAGGGAUGAAAGCUGGGGGAGCAAACCGGAUUAGAUACCCGAGUAGUCC